AACACCUCUCCCCAGCUCCAGCAACUGCUGCAGCUGUGCAGGGCAGUCCCUCUCCAGGUAGGCCCUGUUCUGCCUGGCCCGAAUCUUGUGCCUUUCCCACUCCAGCUUGGUGGGCCAGGCCCUGGGUUCUGCUGCUCUCCAAUCCAGUGUGUCAGGGCAGAAUUCAAGGUGGUCCUGCCCAUCAUACCCGUACUUCCAGUAGCCCUCGGUACUGUUGUCUUCUUGCAUUUCACAGCCCAGGAUGACCUGCAGGGUGUGGGACUCUGGAAAAAUCCCCAGCCUUGUUAACUGCAACCAAAGGAAUAGGUCCCUAUUUCCACCAUCCCCAAGGACCAAAUGAUCUCAGGAAGCAAAUUCCUUCCCUCUUCCCUGCUCCCACAAGACCUCAGACUUCCAGCUGUUUCCUUCAAGAUGCAUGAAAAGAUGAAAAGCUCUGACAACCUCAGGAAGGUGAGGCCCCCUCUCCACAUACCCUUGCUGUGGUUGUGAUUUUCCAUAAUAGUCCAGAAGUCAACAGUGAACAUGUGAUCCCACCCUUUCAGACUCUGACUCAGCUGCAGCCACAUCUGGCUUGAAAUUCUACUGGAAACCCAUGGAGUUCGGGGCUCCACACGGCGACUCUCAUGAUCAUAGAACACGAACAGCUGGUCAUCCACGUAGCCCAAAGCUUCAAACAAGGAAAGACCAAGGUCCUGCUCUGAGGCACCCAUGAAGAGGUAGUGCAGAGAGUGUGAACCUGGAGACAGAGCAACAGGCCUUAACCAUGUGUAGUAGGAGGGGAGCAGGAUGUUGAGGCUCCACACACCUGCAUCAACUCAUACCAUCAGCUGUGUCUGGUCCUCAUUUUGUGAAGGGCAAAAGAACAAUUGCCAAGAGUGGGGAAAGGCCCGAG
This 892-nucleotide long non-coding RNA is filed under the name Homo sapiens (human). RNAcentral's name for it is "non-protein coding lnc-HIST1H1T-1:1". Lineage: Eukaryota; Metazoa; Chordata; Mammalia; Primates; Hominidae. The record is from RNAcentral.